CUCCUCCUCUUUCAAAAGCGACAUCACAACAGUGAAAAAUUCAAUAAAUAACAUCUGGAAAAACACAACAGGUGAACGUCCAGUAAUGUGAUGAUCAAGAUUGUAACCAACACCAACGGGUGAACGUCUGAUAGUGUGAUGAUCUUCAUGGAUUGAGUAGCAGUCCGGGUAGUUUCCUGAAGAAGCUCCAGAAUGUCAUGGAAUUAAACUGAAAUGAGA
Non-coding RNA from Pelobates cultripes (western spadefoot toad), 219 nucleotides. Lineage: Eukaryota; Metazoa; Chordata; Amphibia; Anura; Pelobatidae. The record is from the annotation of a GenBank genome assembly.